GACGAACGCUGGCGGCGUGCUUAACACAUGCAAGUCGAACGGAAAGGCCCUGCUUUUGUGGGGUGCUCGAGUGGCGAACGGGUGAGUAACACGUGAGUAACCUGCCCUUGACUUUGGGAUAACUUCAGGAAACUGGGGCUAAUACCGGAUAGGAGCUCCUGCUGCAUGGUGGGGGUUGGAAAGUUUCGGCGGUUGGGGAUGGACUCGCGGCUUAUCAGCUUGUUGGUGGGGUAGUGGCUUACCAAGGCUUUGACGGGUAGCCGGCCUGAGAGGGUGACCGGCCACAUUGGGACUGCGAUACGGCCCAGACUCCUACGGGAGGCAGCAGUGGGGAAUAUUACAAAAUGGGCGGAAGCCUGAUGCAACAACGCCGCGUGCGGGAUGACGGCCUUCGGGUUGUAAACCGCUUUCGCCUGUGACGAAGCGUGAGUGACGGUAAUGGGUAAAGAAGCACCGGCUAACUACGUG
This 468-nucleotide ribosomal RNA is filed under the name uncultured bacterium. RNAcentral's name for it is "partial 16S ribosomal RNA". It matches the Rfam family "Bacterial small subunit ribosomal RNA", at positions 28 to 507 of the family's 1533-position model. The record is from RNAcentral.